UUAACAAAAACAUGUCCUUUUGAUUAUAAUUUAAGGUCUGAUCUGCCCAAUGAUAUAAAUUAAAUGGCCGCGAUAUUUUGAUCGUGCGAAGGUAGCAUAAUCAUUAGUUUUUUAAUUGAAAGCUGGUAUGAAGGAUUGGACGAGAAAUUUUCUGUCUCAAUUUAGUAUUUUGAAUUUUAUUUUUGAGUUAAAAAGCUUAAAUUCGAUUGAAAGACGAGAAGACCCUAUAGAGUUUGAUAAUUUAUUAUUUAUAUAGAUUUUGGAAUUAUAUCUUUUUAAUUAUUAAAUUAUUUAGUUGGGGUGACUGAGAAAUUAGUUAAACUUUUUUUUGUUUAGAUAUUUAUUUAUAGGUUAUUGACUUAAAUUUUUAGUUAAAAGAUUAAAUUACCUUAGGGAUAACAGCGUAAUUUUUCUUGAGAGUUCUUAUCGAAAGAAAAGAUUGCGACCUCGAUGUUGGAUUAAAGUUUAAUUUUGGUGUAGAAGCUAUAAUGUCUGGUCUGUUCGACCAUUAAAACUUUACAUGAUCUGAGUUUAAACCGGCGUGAGCCAGGUUGGUUUCUAUCUUCAAUGUUUUAAAAUAUUUUAGUACGAAAGGACCAAAUAUUGUUUAAAUUAAUUUUUAUUUGAAUAUAAUU
This 635-nucleotide ribosomal RNA is filed under the name Agrilus obsoletoguttatus. Its description in RNAcentral is "partial 16S ribosomal RNA". It matches the Rfam family "Bacterial large subunit ribosomal RNA", at positions 1804 to 2739 of the family's 2925-position model. The record is from RNAcentral. Lineage: Eukaryota; Metazoa; Arthropoda; Insecta; Coleoptera; Buprestidae.